GACGAACCGAGCAAACGUUAUUCGGAAUCACUGGGCUUAAAGGGCGCGUAGGCGGGCCAUCAAGUCUGUGGUGAAAUCCCCAGGCUCAACCUGGGAACUGCGUCUGAUACUGGAUGGCUUGAAUCCGGGAGAGGGAUGCAGAAUUCCAGGUGUAGCGGUGAAAUGCGUAGAUAUCUGGAGGAAUACCGGUGGCGAAGGCGGCAUCCUGGACCGGCAUUGACGCUGAGGAGCGAAAGCCAGGGGAGCAAACGGG
RNAcentral lists this ribosomal RNA (253 nucleotides) under uncultured bacterium. RNAcentral describes it as "partial 16S ribosomal RNA". It matches the Rfam family "Bacterial small subunit ribosomal RNA", at positions 524 to 776 of the family's 1533-position model. The record is from RNAcentral.